This 60-nucleotide transfer RNA is filed under the name Facelina bostoniensis. RNAcentral's name for it is "tRNA-His". Lineage: Eukaryota; Metazoa; Mollusca; Gastropoda; Nudibranchia; Facelinidae. The record is from RNAcentral.
GGAGUUAGUUUAAAAUUAAAAUUCUGGUCUGUGGCACCGGAGAUAACGUUCGUUGCUUCU